RNAcentral lists this long non-coding RNA (383 nucleotides) under Mytilus galloprovincialis (Mediterranean mussel). The record is from RNAcentral. Lineage: Eukaryota; Metazoa; Mollusca; Bivalvia; Mytilida; Mytilidae.
CUAGAACAUAAGUAUAUAUUUUUUUGUGUACAAUUUGGAGUUUAGUAUGGCGUUCAUUGUCACUGAACUAGUAUAUAUUUGUUUCGGGGCCAGCUGAAGGACACCUCCGGAUGCGAGAAUUUCUCGUUGCAUUGAAGACCUGUUGGUGACCUUCUGCUGUUGUCUGCUCUAUGGUCGGGUUGUUGUCUCUUUGGCACAUUCCCCAUUUCCAUUCUCAAUUUUAUGUUGAUUAAGGAUGUCGAUCCUUCAUGUACGAUAUUUAUUUCAGAAAUACUUAAAUAUGAAGAAAAAAAAACUAAGUAAAUGUGAAUUUUAGAAAACACUGAAUGACUUUUAAGAAAAUGGACCUAGUGUGAACUAAGUUCUAGCCAAGAAAUUGGUGC